Molecule: ribosomal RNA, 497 nt
Filed under: uncultured bacterium
Lineage: Bacteria
Description: partial 16S ribosomal RNA
Rfam family: Bacterial small subunit ribosomal RNA
Source: RNAcentral
GAUGAACGCUGGCGGCGUGCCUAAUACAUGCAAGUCGAGCGAACGGACGAGAAGCUUGCUUCUCUGAUGUUAGCGGCGGACGGGUGAGUCACACGUGGAUAACCUACCUAUAAGACUGGGAUAACUUCGGGAAACCGGAGCUACUACCGGAUAAUAUUUUGAACCGCAUGGUUCAAAAGUGAAAGACGGUCUUGCUGUCACUUAUAGAUGGAUCCGCGCUGCAUUAGCUAGUUGGUAAGGUAACGGCUUACCAAGGCAACGAUGCAUAGCCGACCUGAGAGGGUGAUCGGCCACACUGGAACUGAGACACGGUCCAGACUCCUACGGGAGGCAGCAGUAGGGAAUCUUCCGCAAUGGGCGAAAGCCUGACGGAGCAACGCCGCGUGAGUGAUGAAGGUCUUCGGAUCGUAAAACUCUGUUAUUAGGGAAGAACAUAUGUGUAAGUAACUGUGCACAUCUUGACGGUACCUAAUCAGAAAGCCACGGCUAACUACGUG